AAUGUAUAGCAAUAGCUACUUGCAUCAUUGUAAAUAUGAUGCAAGAUCGACUAUGUCGAAUAAAAUUCUAGGUAGAAUUAUGAUAAUGACAUUGUCUGCCUAUGUGUCUUGACCAAAUUACGUGCCAGCAGUCGCGGUAAUACGUAGAAGACUAGUGUUAUUCAUGUUUAAUCGGUUUAAAGGGUACCUAGACGGUAAAUCAAGCCUAAAAGGAAAUAAAUGAAGGGACUAAUUUACUAGAGUUACUUAUGAGGGGGUAUUAAAGUACUGCUGGUGUAGAGAUGAAAUUCUGUCAUACCUCUUUUCAAUAGAAAAAUAAUGGCACAGGUAUAGGCGAAAGCAUCCCCUUAUGUGAUAACUGACGUUGAGGGACGAAGGCUUUGUGUAGCGAACAGGAUUAGAUACCCCAGUAGUCAAAGCAGAAAAUGAUGAAUGUCAUAGAUUAGAUAUAUAAGUUUAUUCUAUAAAUGAAAGUGUAAGCAUUCCACCUCAAGAGUAAUUUGGCAACAUUGGAACUGAAAUCAUUAGACCGUUUCUGAAACCAGUAGUGAAGUAUGUUGUUUAAUUUGAUGAUCCGCAAAAAACCUUACCACAAUUUGAAUAUUUAUAUCUUUUAUUGUUUUUCUUUUUAACUUUUUCUAAUUUUCUACUUAAAAGAAAAAAAUAACAAGAAAAAAGAGACAAUAAGAUAUAUUUACAAGCGUUGCACGGCUGUCUUCAGUUAAUGUCGCGAGACUAUGGUUAGUUCCAUUAAAUUAACGUAAACCCUUACUUUAUUUUUAUAUAGAGUAGUUCCCCGCUAUAUUGGAUAUGAUAACAGG
This 821-nucleotide ribosomal RNA is filed under the name Vulpicida juniperinus. RNAcentral's name for it is "SSU rRNA". It matches the Rfam family "Bacterial small subunit ribosomal RNA", at positions 360 to 1152 of the family's 1533-position model. The record is from RNAcentral. Lineage: Eukaryota; Fungi; Ascomycota; Lecanoromycetes; Lecanorales; Parmeliaceae. RNAcentral also lists the same sequence under 2 other names.